AUUGAACGCUGGCGGAAUGCUUUACACAUGCAAGUCGGGCGGCAGCGCGGGGGCAACCCUGGCGGCGAGCGGCGAACGGGUGAGUAAUACAUCGGAACGUGUCCUUAAGUGGGGGAUAGCUCGGCGAAAGCCGGAUUAAUACCGCAUAAGCUCUGAGGAGGAAAGCGGGGGAUCGUCUAGAAACUGGAGACUAGAAACUAGAGACUAGAUUGAUAAGGUGCGGCGAAGCCGCGCUUCGUUAGUCUAGUUUCCAGUCUCUAGUGUCUAGUUUCUAGACGACCUCGCGCUGUUGGAGCGGCCGAUGUCGGAUUAGCUAGUUGGUGGGGUAAAGGCUCACCAAGGCGACGAUCCGUAGCUGGUCUGAG
Molecule: ribosomal RNA, 365 nt
Filed under: uncultured bacterium
Lineage: Bacteria
Description: bacterial SSU rRNA
Rfam family: Bacterial small subunit ribosomal RNA
Source: RNAcentral